GGAUGUAGAUGGUGAUAUCUAUACAGAUGGAUCUUAUAUAUAUGGUAUAAUGAAGUACCACAUGGGUGGAUAUAUAGGAAUCAAAAUCUGCCGAAUCACUCAUGUUAUGAUCUUCUACAUCCUAGGUCUUCCCGUUCCAUCAUCUGGCUUAUGUUCUUCAUGUAGCAUUCAGACCGGAUGACUCUAUUAAAUUACGUUGAUACUUCCACAUAUUAUGGGUAACGUAGGAGACAUCUCUAUUUUUCCCCCCGGGAAUCUUUAGAAUUACCACUGCUUAGCUUUCAAUUCGCCUCUGACCAUCAAAUGAAAUGUGAAUAAUCCGUCCUCUUCUCUUUGAAAGAAGGGGCGCUUCCGGUUCUGUCGGUGCUUGAAACAAUUUUGUCUUCUCCAUAUUACUAUAUCUCUAGAGUCAAUAAUUUUAUAUGAGGAACUACUGAACUCAAUCACUUGCUGCCGUUACUCUUCAGUUUUCUGUUGAGGUCUAUCCUGUAGAGGUACUCAAAUUGGAUCAGUGAUCGAUUUCUAGGUUUCGUCGUAAACCUAAUUGGUUACUUCCAAUUACGUAAAUCAAUAGUUCAAACCGCACUCAAAGGUAGGGCAUUUCCCAUUUUUAUANGCUAAUUAAAUAUGGACUCUUACAUAUAUAUAUAUAUAUAUAUAUAUAUAUAUAUAUAUAUAUAUAUAUAGAUUGGGCUAAGAUUUAUUUAGAAUGGGCUAAGAGUAUAUGGAAGUCCAUGGAGCCUUUAGCCAAUGGAUCCUAGGUAAAUGAAGAAUCAUGGGUAUUAGGGUUUAACCCUAAUCCUCCAUAGUAUAUAAAGAGGUCCUUGGUUCUAGCAAGCAUCAUAUUCUCUCAAGUAUUUCCAAGUUGUUUUGGGUGAUUUGUGACACCACUUGAGGGAUCCACACUAUUGGUGCUAGGCUCUAAAACUCCAAGCAAUCAACCACAAAAGAAAGGUAUGUUAUUCUACUUAAAGUUUUAUAUUACAAGUACCCCAUAACAUGCUAGUUAGGUUGUAAACCUUGGAAAUAAAAUUUGCAUGUAUUUUAGAUAAAACAUUGAUCCAAGGUUUCUAGGGUUUCAUGUACACCAUAGGAGUGUUAGAAUGCUCAAAACCCAACAAUGGUAUCAGAGACUAGGCUUGUUUUCUUGAUACUUGAUGUAAACUUGUUGAAAAAGCUCAAAAAUAUGCUAUCUGCUGCAUGAACUUACCGAGUCCAUGUGUAAAUUCAUCCUACUCGUCGAGUAGGUUCUUGCACUCGACGAGUAGGGGCCCCAGAAUUAGUUUUUCGNCGUCGAGUAGGUUCUUGCACUCGACGAGUAGGAGCCCCAGAAUGUAGUUUUUCGAGUUUUGGUGCUGGAAAUGGACUAGAAACAUUACUCUAAACUGUUUUGGUGUUUUAAAACUUGUUUUAGAUGGUGUAAUGGUUAUGCAAAUCCAUUUACAAUGGCUUAUAUCAAAAUUCCAUGUUUUAUAUGUAUUAAUAUGAUUCUUGAAAUUUUGAUAUUGAUGUUCAUGUUCUUAUAAGUUAUUGUUAGAUCAUACGAAUUAUUUUUUGAAUUGGUUGAUGAUUAAUUCUUGAUCAAUUAUGUUUUUUAAUGGAAUCCAUAAUUUGUCCUCAAGUUAUGGAUUACGAAAAGUCACUCUUUUAAAGUCCAUAUUAAAACACAUAGGUUACAUAAAAUGAAAGGUCACUCAUUUUAAUGAACCAUUAACUCAUAAGUUAUGGAGUUGAAAAGUCUUGAAUAGUUUCAAAACUUGCCCUCAAGUUUGGAAUUUGUAAAGUCUUACACAUUAAUACUUUAAAUUCCAAAUUGAACCUUAGAUUUUAAAAGUUUAAAAUUCAACCCUUAUACUUCUAUAAUAUUAAAAGUUUAAUUAUUAUAUAUNGGAAGCUGGUCUAUAAGGGGGUAUAAGGUUACUGCCUAUAAAAUAGCGGUUUAAUGGGUGUCCACUCUCACCCACCGCUUCCUUGACUGGUGGAGGGUCGUUAUCCGAACGGGUAGGAUAGGACCUUAAUCCUCAUUAAAAGUAUAAUGAAAAUAUAAAGUAACUAAACCUUUAUUAAUUCCUAAUCUUAGUUACUUUAGGAAAAUAUGAAAUAGGUUCUAACCCAUGAAAUUACACUUUGUACCUUACCAAGUCGUUAGUGGAGCGUGUGUGGUUAACCGACACAGUAACAAGGAAUAGUAAGAGUGACAAAGGGUGAGUUAAGUUUUAUCAUAGAUCGGUGUAGUGCAUGUGGUUAACCGGCACAUCGAUUAGGUGAAAAAAUUAAGGGUACCAAGUCAAUUUGCAUGGUUAUUCACACAUUGUUUGUGAUCCUCAGCAUCCCAGUCACAAACUUGAGAGGACACAAUCGAGAUUUAAGCAUGCCAUUGAAAGUUCAAUGUAUCUCAAAAGAUCUAGGAGUUUCAAAUCCAAUUAAAACUUAAUAAUUUAUUUCGUUUAUAAUGGUGGAAAUUGGUAAAUCGUCAUUUACCUACAUUCAAAUGUUUUAUAGCUUGGAUUACGACAUCCCUCUUCCAAGUUAUGAAAUAAUUUGUAGGAUCCAAGCCUUGAUAUUUCAUUUGGGUAACUUAUUAAGGACUUCGUAUCUAAUUAAAACUUGUCCUUCUUUCUUUUCAGAUGUCUUCCAACAUUGCUGCUGGCUCAAACCCUACAGGCUCCUUUUCCCUCAUGAACUUAUGUGGGAAAGUCACUUUUGAUGGUUCUAAUUUCAAUGAAUAGAUUAGGAACAUCAAAAUGAUUACCCGUUAUGAGGACAAGGAAUAUGUCCUUGAUAAGGAGCUUAAGGUUAUCAAUGAGUCCACUGCUACUCCUGAGGAGAUUGCGGAGUAUGCAGCACAUGAGAGGGAUGCUACUAAAGUGUCCUGCAUUAUGUUGGCUACGAUGACUCCCGAACUCCAGAAAUCCUAUGAAAAUUUCUACCCCUAUGAGAUGCACCAGGAUCUGAUGAAAAGGUACCAUCAGAGCACACGUCAAGAGAGGUAUGAAAUCAUAUCCUCUAUGAUAACAACCGGGAUGAAGGAUGGUGAACCCAUCACUGGUUACUUGCAUAAAAUGUAAAGGUUCAUGGACCGGUUGCUGAAGCUUAAUAUGGACUUCCCUGAGGACAUGGCGAUUGAUAUCAUUCUCCAUUCCUUACCUCCAAGUUAUGAUCGGUUUCGCAUGACUUAUCAUAUGAACAAGGAGGAAGUUACACUCAGCAAACUUCAAGGACUUUUAAGGACCGCUGAAAGUGGCCUUAAAGGUAAAUUGGUUGUUACUUCGACUCCUACUCCUACAACAACCCUUGUUCUGGCAAUUGGUCAGGGAAAGGAGAAGAAGAGGAAGACCCCUUCGAAGGGUACCAAGGGAAAGUAUCUUGAUGGCUCCUUUUCAAGAGGGACCAAGAAAGGCCCCAUUCCUCCUUCUUCAAACCCAAAGGAAGCACAAUGCUUCUACUGCCACGAAAAGGGGGCACUGGAAGCGAAGCUGGCCUAAGUACUUGCAGGAUGUAAAGGAUGGUAAAGUUAAACCCACCCAUGCAGGUAUUUAUACCAUAUUGUCUAAAAAAUCAUUGCAUACUAACUCUUGGGUGCUUCAUACAAGCUAUGGUAUUCACAUUUGUACUGAUUUUCAGGGCCUAAGAAGUAGUGAAGAAGUGGAGCACGGGAAGAUAAACUUAAUAAUGGGCAAUAGGAAAGCAUCACAUGUGACCAAGAUUGGAGUUUAUUCUUUAUUGCUUAAUAAUGGGUUAACUUUAGAUUUGAAUAAUUGUUGUUACUCGUCAUAAAUGGCAGGAAAUAUUAUUUCCUUUCACAGUUUGUACAAGCAAGGAUUCACCUUUUCUUUUGAUAAUAAAAUUGGUGCUAUUGAUGCUUUUUAUAAUGAUGUGUUUUAUUUUAAAGCAUUACCUUGUAAUGGUGUAUAUGAAACUGUGUCGAUUGUAGAGAAUUUAGGGAAUAAUGUAUUUCAUAUUGAUUCUUCGAUUACCUUGGAUAAAGCAUCCUUGUGGCAUUGUCGUCUUGGACAUGUCAAUAAGAAGCGCAUAGGCCAACUCCAAAAGGUUGGAGUUUUGGAAUCAUUUGACCUGAAAUCAGAUGAUAGUUGCGAGUCUUGUUUGCUUUGAAAAAUGACAAAGUCAACCUUCACUAGUUCUUGUGAGAGGGGUGAAGUAUUGUUGGACCUCAUACACACAGACAAGGUUGUAGAACUCGUUACUCGGUACCUGUUCGGCCGACUACCGAGCAGCGAGUACCCGGGAGUACUCGGAUUCGGUAAUUCAUCUAGAUAUAUUUUUAGGGAAAUUAUAUACGUCAAAAUUAUAAGUUAAAAUCAUAAGUUGAUUAAAAUAUAUAACAAAAUUAGAUACAUGUGAAUACACAAAAGCUAAAAAACACAUAAUGGUCUCACUUUGUGAAUAAUUACUGAAAAUUUAUGAUAUAUGUGUAGUAAUAAUCACAUGUGUGUUUUAAAUAAUAAAUCAUUAAGUAUUUUAUACAUAUUAAUCACCGAGUUGAGCGCGUUUUACAACACUACUCAGUUCAGUAAGGGGCUGAUCAGGGAGUACUCGGGAUUCUGUAACUCGCCUCGGUAAAGGGCUGAGUAGCGAGUACUCGGAGGAGUAAUCGGCCAACUCAGCGAGUUUUACAACAUUGCACACAGAUGUGUGUGGAUCCUUCAAAACCGCCACAAGGGAUGCUAAUCGCUAUUUUAUGACUUUUACUGGUGAUUACAGUAGAUAUGGAUAUAUCUACUUAAUCGAGCAUAAGUCAGAAACCUUUGAAAAAUUCAAAGAGUUUAAGUAGGAGGUGGAGAAUCAACUGGACAGGAACAUCAAGAUGCUCCGAUCUGAUCGAGGAGGAGAGUAUCUUAGUAUUGAGUUCCUUAACUAUCUUAAGGAAUGUGGGAUUGUCUCACAAUUGACAACUACUAGGACACCGUAGCUGAAUGGUGUAGAUGAUAGGCACAAUCGAACCUUGUUAGACAUGGUUCGUUCCAUGAUGAGUCGAGCUUCCUUACCAAUCUCAUUAUGGGGGUAUUCCUUAGAGACUGCCGCCCAUAUCCUUAAUCUAGUCCUUACCAAAAAGGUUGCCAAAACACCUCACGAGAUGUGGACUGGGAAAGUUCCAAAUCUAGACCACAUCAAGAUUUGGGGUUGCGAGGUUUUCCUGAGGCGCGAGUCUCACGAAAAGCUCGAACCUCGAAGUGAGAGGUGUAUAUUCAUCAGUUACCUAUAGAAUCCUUUGGUUACCUCUUCUACAGACCCAGUGAGAAUAUGGUCUUUGUUGCAAGGAGAGGAGUCUUUCGUGAGAGAGAAUUUAUAAUCCAAGGAGACAGUGGGAGGCAAAUUGACCUUGAAGAGCUUCAAGAUUCAAGCGGUGAAGGAACCUUAAACACUAGCGACCAACCUGAGGAGGAAACUCCUGUUGAGCCGAUAGAUGAGUCCGUACCUCCGAGGCGUUCCACUAGAGUUAGGAGCACACUUAACUUUUAUUAUGGUUAUCACAUCACUACUGAAGGUGAUACAUUUAUUAGUGGCAAUACACUGAUAGAUUUGGAUGAACCUAAUAAUUACAGGGAACCCAUGGCAGGCCCUGAGUCUGCCAAAUGGAAGGAGGCUAUGGACAGCGAGAUUCAAUCCAUGUAUGACAAUCAAGUUUGGAACUUGGUUGACAAUGUACCAGGUCGUAAGACAGUUGGGUGCAAAUGGAUCUUCAAGAAGAAGACCAGCAUGGAUGGAAAGGUGCAUACUUACAAAGCGCGACUGGUGGCGAAGGGCUUUACUCAAACUCCGGGAGUUGACUAUGAUGAUGAUGGGAUUUGAGCAAUACAUCAUUCCUAUGGUGUACAUGCAAACCCUAAUAGCUUUUGGAUCUAGUUUGUCUAAUGAACAUGCAAUUGAAUAUCCAAAGCUAUAAACCCUAGAUAUAGCAUAUAAUUAAUCAUAUUAACACAAAAUAGGGUUUAGAUCCAACCUUUGAUUGUUAUAUAGCAAUAACAAGCUAAUCCUUGGCUUCAGAAAGCUUAGUUCCUCAAGUGUUGCACCUCUAAUGGAGUCACAAACACCACUAAGUAAUUUGGAUGAAGAGGGAGGAGAGAUGAGCACCAAAAUCGUCCAUGAAACCCUAAGGAUUCAGUCACCACGUUUUUGGGGCUUAGGGGCUCCUUAAAUAGGUAGGCAAUUAGGGUUAUCUAACAAGGAAACCCUAAUUUGACUGCUUAAUCCCUAAGCAGCCCAUGGACCCCUUCUGGAACAUGCCUUGGACGAUUUCUAAUGGGCUUCCCCAUAGAAUUCGUCCAACCUAUUAUUCCAAGGUGAUCCAUAGCCAAAUUCCAAUUAUUUUAUAAUUACAAUUCCAGUCCCCUAAGCUUAAUUAAUCUCUUUAGCCACAAAAUUAAUUCUUUAUUAAUUCUUGACUAAUAUUAAUUAAACAAUAUGAUUUCUCCUUUUAUAUAUUAUUCUCAUAAUAUAUUAAUAAAUCACAAUUAAACCUUACUCUCCUUAAUUCAUCCUACAUAUUGCUAUGGUGAAGGCAACCUAAAAGGACCAUGUUCAUAAUUGGGUCAAGUACAUACCAAAAUAGUUAUGGACUUAGACACUAAUCAAACAGUCUCCCACUUGGAUAAGUCUAAUAACUAUUUUGUAUAACUUCAGAACCUGAUCAACAAUCGUAGCUUUCAAAAGCUAUCAUCCUACAUAUUGCUAUGGUGAAGGCAACCUAAAAGGACCAUGUUCAUAAUUGGGUCAAGUACAUACCAAAAUAGUUAUGGACUUAGACACUAAUCAAACAGUCUCCCACUUGGAUAAGUCUAAUAACUAUUUUGUAUAACUUCAGAACCUGAUCAACAAUCGUAGCUUUCAAAAGCUACUGACAACUCUGAUCUUAUCAGAUACGCGUGUCCUUUAGAUAAGGGAUCAUAUAUUCCUCCAUUCUCAAGAUAUCAUAUAGACAUAAGACAUGAAUUUUUAAUCAUUCUCUCUAUACUGUUUCCCAACUUCCGAUUUAUGACGACUGACAACAGACUACAAUUGAACACAUCAACUUAGUCUCGGCUUGGCCAAACGCUUAGGUGUCAUCACUAAAUCAUCUAGGGGUCCAUAGAUAUCACUUUUAUCCCACUUUGGGUAAAAGGAAUGGAUAAACUUCGAAUCAAAUUCUCACUUGCUCUUACUCAUCAAAUCACACACAACAAUAUGUUUUAUAACACCAAGUUACUAGUGCGUUUACAUAUUAUCAAUGUGCAACCGAAUCGUAAUUACAACUUACACGUCUCAGUUUCAAGAAUAUACAAUAUUAUCGACUCACAAUCACUCGUGAUAAAAUUCAUGAAUUGAUUCUUGUGAGCGUGGGUUUAAUCCAAUACUCUAAUCUUAUUAAAGCACUCAUGAACUCUGCAGCAAACUUGUGCUAUGUCUAAGCUUUUAGACAAUCUACAGACUCUUCAUGACAAUCUUGCUUCAUACCUACUUCCAAAGUAUGACCGACUGUGGAGGUUCGAAUAACCCAGUUAUUUUGGAAGUCAAAACAUGCAAACUGAAACACAACAAUAAUACUUAAUCCUAUAUGGCCCCAAACUUGUGGGAGUAAAUAAAACAUUUCUAUUUAACCACCAUAUUGAUUACUCAUUAUUUAUCAUUUAAUGUUUCAGAUAAUCAACUCGUUACUCAAAUUACAACAAUAGUUGUCCCAUGCACAAAGCAUGCACACUAUGUUUCCUAUGGUCCUUACUUUUUGAAAUAGAUCAAUUGAAAAAUUAUUCCAAUGAUGCUCAUUUCACAAUUCCCAAUCCUUAUCAUUAGUGUUAGAACACAAGUUUCUUGCCACUACUAGAAUAUGCUAGAUUCUAACAUUUUAUGCAACGAUCCUUUCGCAAAGUCACAGCACAAAAGUCACCAAGACUUGGCCAAUGAAAUUACAAAGUACUCUAUCGAAAUUGUUACAAGACAAUUCCAUAGACGUGAAGUCUCACAUUCAAAGUACAUUCCUUUGAACAUCCUUCUUGCAUAAAAUUUUCUAAUCUAGACAUAGACUCUCAAUAUCCAACUCCCAAUAUGGAAACAUUUCCAUAUUUGCCAUAUGACAACUCAUUCUUAAUAGAAUCUUAUCUAUUCAUAAUAAUGUCAAUAUGGUCCAUCCAAUACCAUAGUUCCAACUACUCACAAGCGACCAAUCCUCAGCGAACUUUGGAUUAUCCUUUGAUAGUUGUUUAAUUAUUUUAGUCAAAACCGAUUCUAGUCCUUUUUCUCUCUUAAUGCGCUAGACAUUUGGAAAAUUUUAGAAUGGUCAAAUAUUAUAGCAUUUGCAAUCGAUCUUAUACCCAAAGCGUAUGGGACACAAUGCAUAAUGUCUUACAUAAAGAUAUGAUACUUUAUCAAUCUUCUGUCAUAAUAUUUUAUGUGUCACGUUCUCACAAUUCGAACUAUGAAGAGGGAUGCUGUAAUCAUAAUCGAAAUCUAAGAACACACUAUGUAUCCUUUGACUAUAUUAAUUAAAAUUUCUCAAUCUAAGCUUUAGAUUUUGAAACGAAGUAUAAUAUUCUCUCCUUUAAUUAUAGCAAAACAACUUUUCAACCCUUGUGAAUUUGCAAAGUGAAUCUUUGUCUUCUAUAAUUAAUAUUGCUAACUUGAAAUACUUGCCAUAAUAAUCAUACAAGCAUAACACUUAUGCUCCCACUAUCAUGAUGAUUAUUAUCAUAUAAUCAUAACACUUAUGCUCCCACUAGCUUUGACAUGUAUUCAGAAAACAGCUGAACUUCCAGAAAACAAUACCUAUUGAAUUUUUGAAGUUCAUUAUUCUAAUACCAGAUGCUUCGAUAAGCCUUUAUCUAAGCUUUUUAAACUUAAACACCUUUGCCCUAGAUAGCUCAUAUGUGUGUCUUAACUAAUUCAAAACUUAUACCAAUAAGUCCCAAAUGUUAGACUAAUUGCCAAACUCACAAUUCGAACUAUGGAAAGGGAUGUCGUAACCAUAAUCGAAUUUGAGAAUACAGUUUUUCACAAUUGCUAUCUUCUUAAAAUCUCUCUUAGUGAAAUCAUUUCCUCACAUUCAUUUUCAUGAAGGAUGGAAUCUUAUGACACUUAUAUUUGUGAAUUUGCCAAAACCAAAGUUUGCGACAAAUCCAAUCUCAUAUGGACUGAACUUUCUUAAUCUUGCCUUAUGGUAACACGAGUGCCCACCAUGUCUUCCAAGUAGUUUAGAAACUUAUCCUUACAUAUCAAUGUACUUUCCAUCGAUAAAGGUGCUUUGCAUGUAUGCAUUCAAAUGAGAAUUCAUAGAACUCACAUGCAUAAUUAACUCAAUUGGAAUGACAUAGAAAACAAAAUAAUGUCAACACGAUAGGUUGUAAACCUCAAGUCGUGUGCUAGUGAAGAUCGAUAAGGUUUAUUCUUGAUUUGUUCUUGAAACUUUUUCAAGAUCAUUAAAACUCCCACUGACCUCUUGACAUAUAUGAUUCUCUUUGUCAAGAAACAUUUCUUCACAAAAAAAUAUUCAAGAGUUAGUGUAGUUAUUAUCAAGACAAAACACUUCACAAAUUGGUCCUAGUUGGUCUUUGUCUUAUCCAAGACAUCAUAACUUACCAAUUUCAAAUGUGCAAGAAUAAGAAAAAUUUUCCAAAUUCCACAUUUGAUGAGUGUUAUAAACCUACUUAAGACUUGUCACUCAAUUUGCAAUCUUGGAGUAUGGCUCUAAGAUUCGAUAUUGGAACGAAGUAUGCUUGACUUCUUGAUUUAACCAUUUCCACAAUUCUCGAUUCCUCUUCUUAGACAUACAAAUGUACUAAGACUUACUUAGAGGACCAAUUGAGAUAUGGUUCUUAAUCAUUAAGACUUAUCAUAAAACACAAUAAAAGGUACUCUUCCUUAUUCUUAGAAUAGAGAAACUUUUAUCUUUCUGCCUACUUGAUUCUUCUUUAUUCGUUCUGCUAUUCAUUGAAACUCUUCCAAUCAACUCAGAAUUACACUUAAUCUUAUAAGUAUAAUCAUAUUUACUAAACUUUUAGUAAAUCAUGACGAAUAUCUUAUCUCUCUUUGUGGUGGACUUGAUCAACGCACAACCAAGUGUACUCGAUCUCCUAGUCCUUCACUUGACACUUUGUCAAAGAAUUAGUCUAAUUUCCAAAUAUGAAAGUUUUUCAUUCAUCACGCAACCAAGUUGUAUGAUUCCAAAUUUCUGUCCAAUUGAAACUUGGGCGAUGAGAAACUCUCCCAAUUUGGUAAAUUCUUGACAUCUCCACAAAUAACAUAAUUAAAAAUCAAAUCCAUUAUUGCAAAUAAUAGAAACCUUCAAAAAUCAAUUUUUUCAUUCACGCCAUUGCAAGGAUAAGAUAAAAUAAAAUUUUAUUUUAUUGCGGAAAAAUUUGUCCUUACAAUGCAAUUCAAUUGAAAAACUAUGUUAUUACAUAUUUCUUAGCAAUCUAUUCUAACUCCAAGUAGUAACUCAAGAAUCUAAUCUUCAACUCACUUCUUCCCUUAAGCUUCCUCUCUUUUCUUGGAUCCUACAAUACAUCAAAAUGUAAUCUUAUCACAUCAUGAAUUUAGAAUCUAGAAUAGGAACUCAAAAGAGUUAGAUAAUGGAUUUUACCUGAAGUAGAGCCAUACGUCUUGACUCUCCCAUCUCUUAGAUCUCUCAGGUAAAUAGGGCAGCUUCGUCUCCAAUGCCCCCUCUCUUGGCAAUAAAAGCAAAUGGACUCCUUUGGAAUGGCACAAGGGACUAUCUCAGAAUUUACCUUUUCUGGAUCUCCAAUGUCACCAUUUUCAAUUCCAUUGAAGNCCAAUGUCACCAUUUUCAAUGUCCAUUGAAGUUUGGGAGUUUGAUUCACCAGACAAAUUUGCUUGACCAGCAUGCCAAAUCAUUGCUGAUUCAGCAACUAUAAGCAAAAUGGUGAGAUCAAUGAGGAUCACGUCGUGUUUCAUCAUAUAGUGCUCUCUUACGAACUCACUAUAUGUUUCAGGAAGCAACUGAAGAACCCAGCCAAUAGCCAACUCACCUGAAAUCUCGACACCCAUCAUCCUUAACCUGUCAAUGUGUGACUUCAUCUCUAAGACGUGUGCACACACAGGUUUCCCAUCUUCGUGUUUACUUGCCAAAAGGGCUUGAGUUAGCUUGAACUUUUCAAGCCUUCGAACUUGUGUGUCAGGGAGAAUAAUUGGAGGAGGUAGAGGAAGUGAAGCAUGAUCUCUAGUUCCUCGAUCAUAUUGUGGAAUAUCAUUUCAUUUGGAAAACUUGUUCCAUGGGAUUUGGGAAGACCAUUUUUAGAUUCAGACAUCUACAAAACAGGAGAAAAUUCAAGUUAAGUUGAUUAUAAUCCUUGAUGUAACACCCAAAUGAAACAUCAAGGCUAGGAUCCAACACAAUACUCUACAACCUAGAAGAGGGAUGUCGUAAUCUAGUUGCAGAAUAUUUUAAGGUAGGUAAAUGACGAUUUACCAAUUUCCACCAUGAAAAACGAAAAGAAAUUUAAGUUUUAAAUGAAUUGAAACUCCUAGAUCUUUUUGAGAUUCAUUGAACUUUUCAAUGGCACGUUUAAAUCUUGAUUAUGUCCUUUAUUUGUGAAUGGGAUGCCGAGGAUCACAAAUAAGGUGUGAAUAACCAUGCGAAUCACGUGGUGCACCCAAUGCUACUAUCACCUAAUCAAUGUUCCGGUUAGCCACACACGUUCCAUUGAUUUAUGAUAAGCAUCGUGCCACCCUUCGCUACCAAUGUCAUCCCAAAUUAGUGUGUCGGUUAACCACACACGCUCCACUAACAUUUGACAAGGGUACGAAGUGUAAUUCCAUGGAUUAGCAUACAAUUUCACAUUUUUCCUAAAGUAACUAUGAUUUGGGAAUUUGUAAAAGAAUUUAGUGACUUUGUACUUCAUUAUACUUAUAAUGGAAGGUUUCUGUCCUAUCCUACCCGUUCGACUAACGACCUUCCACUAGUUAAGAGUGCGGUGGGUAAGAGGUGAUACCCAUUCAAUCACCAUUUUAUAGGCAAUUUCUUUAAACACCCCUUAUAGACCAGCUUCGUGAAUGAGGCCUACUAACAGUAAGACUGACUCUUUACUCAUAUAUAUAUAUAUAUAUAUAUANGGUGUGAUUUGAACUUUUUAAAAUACUAGGGUUUUAGAAUUUAACAUUUCAAAAUUAAACUUUUAAUCAACUUUUAAAUUCCAAAACUUGAGGGCAAGUUUUGAAACAUUUCAAAACAUUAGGGUUUAGAAUUUAAAUAUUUCAAAAUUAAACUUUUAAUCAAAAAUUUAAAUUCCAAAACAUUAGGGCAAGUUUUGAAACAUUUCAAAACAUUAGGGUUUAACUAUUUAAAUUUCAAAAACAAAAACUUUUAAGUUGAAAUUUAAACUAUAAAACCUAAAGGGGAAAAUGAAACUUUUUCACAAGAUAAUUCAAAUCUAAAUUACAAAUAAUCAAUCUUUAUCUAAUAAAACAAAAGAUUAUCUAAAUUUUACAAUUAUCUACUAUUUUGGUAAGGAUAUUCACCCAAAAUCAAGAAAAAAAACAGAUUUUAUCAAUUAAAACUGUUUUGGUAAUUAUCAAAAUAGGCAAGAAAAUCACUAAAACAGGCUGCCAUACCCAUGGACUCGCCGAGUCAGGGACUGGACUCGCCGAGUCGACCUGACUUGCCGAGUUCAUCCACUGACUCGCCGAGUCAGUAAGGUAGAGGGAAAAAAAACUUCGUUUUUCAUGCAAAAAUCGAUCAAUCAAGCAACAAAUUCACUAACAAACAGCCCUAGUCUCUGAUACCACUGAUGGGUUCUGAGCAAUACAUCAUUCCUAUGGUGUACACGCAAACCCUAAUAACUUUUGGAUCUAGUUUAUCUAAUGAACAUGCAAUUGAAUAUCCAAAGCUAUAAACCCUAUAUCUAGCAUACAAUUAAUCAUAUUAACACAAAAUAGGUAGAUCUAACCUUUGAUUGUUAUAUAGCAAUAACAAUCUAAUACUUGGCUUCAGAAAGCUUAGUGCCUCAAGUGCUGCACCUCUAAUGGAGUCACAAACACUACUAAGCAGUUUGGAUGAAGAGGGAGGAGAGAGGAGCACCAAAAUCAUCCAUGAAACCCUAAGGAUUCAGUCACCAUGUUUUUGGGGCUUAGGGGCUCCUUAAAUAGGUAGGAAAUUAGGGUUAUCUAACAAGGAAACCCUAAUUCGACUGCUUAAGCCCCAAGCAGCCCAUGGACCCCUUCUGGAACAUGCCUUGGACGAUUUCUAAUGGGCUUCCCCAUAGAAUUCGUCAAACCUAUUAUUCCAAGGUGAUCCAUAGCCCAAUUGCAAUUAUCUUAUAAUUACAAUUCCAGUCCCCUAAGUUUAAUUAAUCUCUUUUAGCCACAAAAUUAAUUCUUGACUAAUAUUAAUUAAACAAAGGAAAACCUCACAAAAACCCUAUGUAUUACACACUAACUCUUAAAAAACCCUUAUAUUAUCAAUUGGUACAAUUUAACCAUUAUUAUUUCAGAAAUUUAUUGUUUGGAUUAUUUGUAACUGGUUAAGUUUAAGGAACCGGUGGCAUAAAUGCCGUGGCAUCUAAAUGGAUGACAUGGCUGUACUUUGGGUGACAUGUAGGCAAAGAAAACUAGGUUAAAAAGUGCAUCGCAUCUUAUUAUGCUUCUUCAAAGUUACGAUGUUGUUCUUGUUCAUCUUCUUCUUUUAACUUCGUCUUUGCAAAAAUGGGCGAUCGAUCGUAAGGAUCUUCUUCUUCUUCCUGAACUCCAAACUACAAAAACGUUUUGUGUAAAUGUGGUGAACAACCAAAGAUUUGGACUUCAAUGACCAGGAAGAACCCAGGCCGACAUUUCAUUCGAUGCCCUAAGUCGUUGGUACACGAUAUUCUUUUAAGAUUGAUAUUGUUUCUAAAAUUCUUACUCAAAUACUUCAUUUUUUUGUAGGAUGCUUCAAAAGAUUGUAAAUUUUUUGUGUGGGUGGAUGAGGAUUUGGGUCUUCACUGGUAUAAGAGUAAAGUGGAUGACUUGCAUAGAAAGAAUGUAGAUUUGUUCAAGGAUAAUAUGAUUCUUUCCAAAAAGAAUAUGGAAUUGGAGAAGGAGAAUUUGAAUCUGCAAAAAAAAAUUAAUGAACUUUGAGCUGAUUGAAGAAAAAGAGAGUUGUGUAUUCAUGGUUAGGUUGAUGAUGUUUGGUAUUGUUCUGGUUUGCAUCUUCAUUUGGAUUAUAAUUAUGUAAUAGGGAAACUAGGUUAAUGUAAAAUAGCUAAAUAUGUAUUAGGGUGAUGUUGUUUGGUUUAUGCACCUUUGUAAAGAGACUAGUGUAUUCAUCUGUUUUAUGAAGAGAAUGUAGAUGUGUCAGUAUAUGGAUUGUUCUAGGCUCCCUUCUUAUGGUUCUAAUGUCAUUUUAUAUUUGGGUACAAAUUAUUUGGACGAUUUUACCCAUUUGGUCGCAUAUUAUCUCAUUAUUGAGAUUAUUUUUGUUGAUUUCAUUUUUUUUUUGGUUUCAACACUUACCUGCAUUUCCCCAGUUUUGUUUUUACAAUUUAAGCAUUUGGAUUCAAUUAAAAAAGGAAGAUAAAGGCAUAAAGUUAUGUUAUGUUCCAUAUCUACUUUUGUUGUUCGUUUGUGAAUAAUGAUUAAUGAAUAAAACUUGUUUCUUUUUAUCUGUCCAACAUUAGCAUAAUAAGAAUACCUUAAUCAAUGUUAGUAUCUAUCUAAUCGGACAUUGGUUUACCAACAACUAUUAGAGUAAUCCACACACACCAGCACCCAAUGCAGAAACAUAACAGAAAAAAAAUCGACUUAUCAUACAAAAACAGAAAAAGAAAUACAGAAACAGAAACAGAAAAAAAAAUAUGAUUUCAAUAUUGUAUUGAUAAGCCAUUCCCCAUUUUACCCUCUUGACUCAUAUUUGUUUUAACACUCUGUCACCCCUGAUUCGGAAAUACAGAAACAAAAAAAAAUGAUUUAUUAUACAUAAAUAGUUCAUAAGAAAUAGUUAAAUUCACCAUUUUUGGCCAUUGACCAUUUUGUCCUUGUUGAUUGUUUAUGCUUUUAGCAUACCAGACAUAAAAUAUGACAAUUAUGGAGGAAAAAGAGGAACAUAAAGUACAUUUUUAGCAUUUUUAAAACCACACUACAUUAAAAAAAUAGGAGGAAUAUAACCUGUUAAUGGGACAUAAUGUGAUUACAUUUCAAUAACAAAAUACUAGGAAUACUAAAUUCCAAGUAACAAAAAUAUUACAAAAGACUAGAGUUUUGUCCAUUCCAGCUCCUAAAUCUAAUAUUCUAAAUAAUCCUUUGAGACGACUCUCUUGGUUUGAGUUUUGCACGGAUAACAGGUACAUCAAUUCCUAUCCCGUCAACCAUAUUAGAUUGAUCUACCAAAUUAUCUACAAAAAAGUUAUGAAAGUAUUAAANAUAUAUAAUUAUUUUUUACCAUUUUCAAUAUCAAAUUGAGUUUCAGGCACUACAUCUUGAGUUUCAGCCACUCCAUCAUCUUGAGUUAUAGGAACUCUUGAUCUGUUGUGGACUUUGCAGCUUGCCAAAAUAAGGUGUUAUAAAUCUCUCCACUGAAACGCUUGUAAAAAUUGGCACAAAUAUGACGGGCACAUUGUCGGUGCUCAGCAUGUGGCAUCACCCCCUUUACGGCUUCAAGAAGACCUGCAUUUAAAUAUGUCAUACAAUUUUAAAAAGUCUCAACAAAUAUGAAUAGGUGCUGUUAUGACUUAGGGGUUGUUUUGUCAUUUCAAAUAUGUCAAAUUUUGUUAAAAAGGUGUCAAAAAUGUCAAUAGGGGCUGUUUUCACAUAAGGUUUGUUUUGCUAUUUUAAAUAUGUCAAAAUUUGUUAAAAAGUGUCCAAAAAGUGUCAAUAGGGGCUGUUUUGACAUAAGGUUUUUAACAUAUAUCCAUAUUGGUCAAAAUAAGCAUUACUAGGUAGAAAAUUACCUUAUGUAGAUCUGAUAUUAAAGUAAGUCCAUUUCCUUGAACUGUUUCAAUAUCUGAUUGUAGUAAUUCAAUGAACCACUUCCAAUUAUCUUUAUCUUCUACAUUCACAACCGCCCAUGCAAUGGGGUAAAUUGGUUGUUUCCAUCUCGACCAAUAGCAGCUAGCAACUCUCCUUUAACUUUCUCUUUCAAGAAACAUCCAUCUAAAUCAAUCACCUUACGACAUCCUUUCAACCAUCCUUCUUUUAAAUCCUUCAAACAAAUGUAGAUUCUUUUGAAAUAUUUUGCAUCCGGAUUGAAAUCAACUCCAAUUUCAACAGUGCUUCAUGGGUUUGAUCUCAAAACUUCGUUACCGUAAUCCCAUAUUCUAGCAUAAUGACCAGUUAACUUGCCCUCAAUUAGUGUAAAUGCUAAUGUCCUUGCCCUUUCACACUGACCUUUGCUAAGAUUUAAAGAAUAUCUUUGUAAAAAAAUCAGCUUUCAUUUCUUUGACUUUUGUUUUGGGAUUGCGAAUUAGGUCACUAAGGUAAUGGUUAGCAAUCCAACUUGGAGUUAUCAAUGACCCGAGGCUGUAUUUUCGUGCACAAACAUGUUUCUUUUCCAAAGAUUUCACUUGCCUAGUUAGUUCAUUUCCCAUCCAAGACGCCUAACAUCUAAAUGGACACUUAUUCUCACCAUUUUUUAGCCACAACGUACUAAUAUCCUAGAACGAUCACACUUGGCAAACCUCAAGUGGUAUCCAUUAGCCACCGCAUAAUUUGUUAGAGAAAGCUUGAACUGUUCUGGGCUUUCGUAUUUUUCCCCCACGUGUGGUUCCAUUCUGUUCCAAGGGAUCCUAGGGUUGUGUACAAGAAAUUGGUCCCCAAUUUCUUGAUCUUGAUGCUCUCCUUCGUCAUAUUCUUCAUCUGAAUGGGUCAAUUCAACAUCAUCAGAUGAUAUUUCAGGGAACUCCACUUCACCCUGUACCAAGUCAUUCUAAAAAGGAUCCCAUAUUGUUUUGUCCAUUGAAGAAGGAACAUAUUCUUCUUCAUCAGACUCGUCGUCUGUUCCAUUCACACCCUCCGUAUAAACUUCACAUAAUACAUUUGAAAUUGAAGUCAUGGCUUUUGGUUAAAGCUUCCUUGAAGAAUCAAUGGAAACAACAAAAAUAAGAACCAGGGGUAGAAGACGGGUUGAUGUUCUGAUUAAGCGAAAUAGAAGAAUGAUCGAUUACCUUUUUUUCGUGUGAUUGAGCAACAAGUUUCCCGCCACUUCCAAGAUGCUUUCCCUCCUGUACGUAGCUUUCCCUUUCAUUUUUUACAGAGUGACCGAUAUCAAGUUAAAAGAGAAUGAAGGUAAUCUACGUAGACUAAUAAGAACGGGUAACCUAGGGUUACUGGAUAAAUGAGAUAGAUUACACGGUUUCUGAAAUAAUAAUGGUUAAAUUGUACCAAUUGAUAAUAUAAGGGUUUUUCUAAGCGUUAGUGUAUAAUACAUAGGGUUUUUGUGAGGUUUUCCCAUUAAACAAUAUGAUUUCUCCUUUAAUAUAUUAUUCUCAUAAUAUUUAACACCCCAAAUUCCAGAGGUGUUGUUGAAGGGCUUAAAUUGGAAACUAAGGAAAGGGACUCGACAAGUAGGCAUGCUUACUCGCCGAGUCGGAGCGGGAUUUGUCACAGGUUUAAGUGGCCAACUCGCCGAGUCGGCGGCUUGUACUCGUAGAGUUGGUGCUGAAGGGAGAAAACCCUAAUCCCGGAGGUUGUGCCCUAUAUAAAGCACAUUAUAACCCACCAUCAGCGUCUUUGCUACCCUUUUGAGAUCCAUAAUCCCUAAUUUCAUUUGUGACAAGACUUGGAAGCAAAUUGGUGUGAUUUGUGAAGGGAUCUGGUAGAUAAAGAAGCUUGGAUCAAGGAGACUUGAAGAGAUCCGGAUUAUACUUCAGUGGGAGGUUAUUUUGGAGGUAAGGAAUCGUUAUCCUUGGCCUUCUCCUUUCUAGUUCCAUUUUCAUGGAGUUUUAGGGUUUGGUUGGAGAAAUAUUUGUAACAUCCCGAGUUCAGGAGUGCAAGUUCAGGGUUCAAAGUGUAUGUGUGGAAGGGAAACUCGGCGAGUCCAUGGGUGGACUCGGCGAGUAGAGUCGCGACUUGGGUCGCGUGUUAAGUGGCCAACUCGGCGAGUAGGUGCUGAAUGGAGAAAACCCUAAUUUUGGAGGAUGAGCCCUAUUUAAAGGAAAUUAUACCCUCUCCCCAGCCUCUUUACCCUCUCUUGAAGUCCUGAAGACCCUAAGGCGCGGUUGUGAGGGAUUUGAGUGCAUUUGAACCUUGGAGAAGAGAUUUUGGAGGAGAUCUUGGAGAGUUAAGAGGCUUGGAGCAAGGGGCUUUGCUAAGAUUCGGAUUUCUCUUCGGUUGGAGCUUCCUUUUGAGGUAUUAUUUCGUUGUUUGGGCUGUUAUUCUUCAUUUUGGAGUAUUUGGAAAGAUUAGCUUGUGGUAUCUUGAGUUUGGAGGUUAGAUCUGGGGUUGCUAACUCAGAUCUGGAAUGGAGAAGGUCUAGAGUGCAUUAAAGUCCCUGUUCUUGGGUGUUUGGUGAAGCCAUCUUGUCCCAAACCCUAUCCCUAGAGUGUAAAAUGCCUAAAUCUCUUUGGAUUCACGUAAAGUUUGCCACUUUACGUGAUGGAUGGGCUGUAGAAGGGUAGAUCCAUGGUUUGGAUCAACUGCAUGGGUUGAAAGGCUUCUGUAUGGGUUAAGAUCUAGAGGCACUCGGCGAGUCACAAAGGUGUACUCGGCGAGUUGCUUGAAGAUGUUCAGGAACUCUGCGAGUUGGAAGAACAACUCGGCGAGUAGGUUGAAGAUAGCCUUGGACUCGACGAGUCUGUUCUUGGACUCGGCGAGUCUGGUCGUGAGGUUCUAACUUCUUCUGGUUGAGCCAUGAAUCAGUGAGUCAAGGGAGGACUCGGUGAGUUGAGUGCGAGGGGACUCAGAGUCGUGGGACUCGGCGAGUCUCGGGGUGACUCGGCGAGUUGAGUCGCGGAUUGGGGAAGUUCUGAGCAUGGGGACUCGGCGAGUAGAGUCAGUCAGGAGGUUGACUUUGACUUUGACUUUGACCAACGGUUGACCAGUUGACUUCUAGGGGCAUUUUGGUAAUUGUUGGCUUUUGUUUGAGUUCAGUGUUGGUGUCGGCUAGUGGUGGUGAUCGUCUCAGUGGUCGGACCAUCUUGGUCUUAUCUGUUCACUCGGCAAUGGCGAGGUGAGUUAUCCUCACUAUAUCAACAGGGUCUAAGGCACCAAGGCCGACCCUUUAUCGGAUUGUGAUCCGGGUAUAGUUGUUAUGUUAUUGCUUUGAUAUGUUUGCAUCAUGGUAGUUAGGAUGGUAUAUGCUAGUGACUGGUUAGGUCGGUAUCCUGGUUAGGAUGAUGAUAUGUUAUGUAAUCUGCUAGAUCGGCUUGAUUGAAUGUGAAUUGUUAUAUGAUUAAAUGUUUAUGUGCACAUGGUUGUUGGACUGAGGUUUGGGUUGAGGCAGGUCCUGCUUUGUGUUGUAGGCCAACAUACCCAGGGCGGACCGGUUAUCCCGAAGGUCCAGCUAGCGGUCCAGAUAGGCUGCAAGCCCUAAGAGGGCGGACCAGAUGUGCCGACGCUCGAAGAGUGGACCAGACCGACUGAAGGCCCGGUGCGGGCGGACCAGUCAUACUGUAGACUCAGAGAGUGGACUAGGUGGAUUAAAGGUCCGGUGCGGGCGGACCAAUCACACUGUAGACUCGAUGUAUAUGGCUAGACUCGGAGGGUGGACCAGGUGGACUGUUGGCCGGUACGACGGACCAGUCUCACAGUAGACCUGAAGUGCAUGGUUGUUCUGUGUUCUGUUAUGAUAUGUAUGCUAUUAUGUUAUGGGCCGGAAGGCACUAUGUUUUGGACCGGAAGGUCGUGGCCUGGAAGGGCGUAUGUGUGGUUGGUAUUUUGGGGGUAUCUCACUAAGCUUUCGGGCUUACAUUUGUGGUUUAAUGUUUUUCAGGUUCUUCAGGAGACCGUGGCAAGGCAAAGGCGUGAUCGUACCGCUCCUCGUGAUUUUGUUUUACGAUGUGGUUCUGGGAAGACUCUGAUAAUAAUUGUAUCAAAAACCUUUUUGUAAUAACUUUAUGAAACCGGUUUGUUUUGAAAAGUUUAAUUUGGUUGAAAUUUUUAGAGUGUUACAAGUUGGUAUCAGAGCCUUGGUUUGAGUGAAUUGGAGGAACAUUCAUGUGAAUCCAGUCUCAAAUCAAGGAGAGUUUUUCAAAAGAGAAUUCAAAAUGGUUUUCAAAAUGAGUAAAGGAGGACGCGGAGGUACGAUCAGCCGGAGCCAGUAAGUAGCCCCAAAAUACCAUACAUGAUAAUUGUUUUUAAACUUUGAUAGAACAGCAUGCUAGUACUAGGCUAGGGAUCUUCAGGAUUUCAUGUUAAUGUUGCCUGAUUUAUGAUGCCAGUUAACCUAGGGUUUCUUCUGUGGGAGAUUUCCAGUGUUCCUCUAGGAGUGAGGAUUGAGUGCUUGUUAUGUAUGAUUUUCGCUAGGGUGUCGUGGUAAUACUUGAUACAAAUAUGGGUAGGUGUGGAAGGUAGUAUGGGCCUGUACUACUGAAAGCAUAGGACCCAUACGCGUAUCAAAGAAACCAUGACCUCUAGGGUUGGGUUGGGGGUUGGUUCCUGGGAUAGUGGGAAGUAUCUGAGAUCUUGCGAUGUUUUUCAGUAUGGUGGUUACGAGGCAUGCUGGGAGUGGAUCCGGAUCAGGAUCUGGAGCUGGAGGGGACGGUCAGGGUGGAUCAGUACCGCCCGAGGUUAUUGUUCAGAUGAGCACAGGCGAGUUGGAUGCUAGGAUUCGUGAGAUCCUGCAUGAUAAGGUUGCUGCGUUGUUCCGGGCCGAGUUGUCGGAACUGUUUGGGUCGAUCAAGACCGCCAUGAUUGAGUAUUUGGAUGAGCGCUAUGCGGCUCUCGCAGAGAGGGCUGCCGCGGCGGCUACAACGGCUAUAGCGGCGACAGGAGGAAGAGCUGGUAGAGGUUUCCAGUAUCGGAACUUCGAUAAUACGAAGCCCCCUACCUUUGAUGGAGUUCAGGACCCGAUUGUUGCUAUGAGGUGGUUGUCAGAUGUGGAGGGGUGUUUUUUACAUGCUAAUUCCCUGCUGAUCAGAGGGUGAGGUGUGCUCUAAACCUGUUGAGGCUUGGGGCAAAGGAUUGGUGGAGAUUGACCACGGGGUCAUACUCGGAUGCGCAGAGGGCUGCGGUUUCAUAAGAUCAGUUCCGGGAAAUGUUCAGCACUCGUUAUGUUCCGCGGGUUGAGAGGGAGAGAUUGGCUCAAGAGUUCCUUGAGUUGAAGCAGGAUUCAGAGUCGGUGACGGAGAUCACCAGGAUGUUCACUGAGAGGGCGAUGUUUUGCCCUGAGUUUGCUUCAGAGCAGGCUCAGAUGUCCGGAUAUCUGAGUAUGCUCAAGAGGGAUAUCAAGCAGUUCGUGUCUGCGCAGAGGUGCGAGACCUUGUUGGAGUUGCAGGAGGCCGUGAGGCGGCGUGAGUUGGAGAUUGAGUUGCAGAUGCGAGAGCUAAGGCAGGCUCCGGUGCAGUCGCAGCCGACGCCGAAACGGUCCAAUACCGUUGAUUCUAGGUUGGGAGAUCAGUGCAGCCACACUUGUGGGAAGUGUGGGAAGGGUCACACCGGAGUUUGUAGGUCCGAUGGUGCAUGCCGCAAGUGCGGAAGGGAGGGGCACUAUGCAAGGGAUUGUCGGUAGACAACCCCGAUUCGAGAUUUGAGGAUUUGUUAUCAUUGCCAUUAGGUUGGACACUGAGGGUCAACUGUCCACAGCUUGCUGCAGGACCGGUGCAGGCUCUAGAACCGGCCACUUUGAGGAAUACGGGUGGAGGUCAGGGUGGAGCGGAGCCCCCAAGGGCUCAAGUCGUGCUUUUCAGCUUACAGCGGAGGAGGUCAGGGCAGUUUCGGAUGCAGUUGCGGGUAUGUUUCUUUCUUGAUGUCUUGUUAUUUGGUGAUUUUUGUGGUGUAUUGUUUAUCUGCUAGUCUCGUUGUGUGAUUCUGGUGUUGUAUUCGUUGUUCCUUGAGGGUUGUGGUAUGGUUAUGGAUUUGGUGUUGGAAAUUUCGUUGGUUAUCAUUUAUGAGGAUUUUUAGCGGGAAUCUGGUUUUGGUCUAAAUGUUGGGUAGCAUCUGCAGUCUGAGGAGUGGCUAGCUGAAGAUCGGGUUUCUUUCUAGCUGGGUUGAUCAGUGUCAUUAUGAAUUUGUGAGGAUUGCUUGUUCUGGUAGGAAUCAAUUCGCGUGUAAGGGUUUGUGUUGAGUAGGGUUAUCGAGGGAGGUCGGUGAUGGCGACCGGUGGUUGAUAGUUAGUGCUCUAAGUGGGGGAGAAUUGGAGAAUUCUCCGGAAGAUCGAUAGGCACGAGAGGUUGCUUAGCUGUUGAGAUUUAGUAGCGGUUCUGACAGCCGAGCGUAGGCUGGAAUGAGCAAGUGCCAGGCAAGCGGGGCGGGAUGCAGACCAAGGGUGAUUGAUGGUGGAAGGCCUAUGAUCAGGUCGGGUUUGAGUAUGUAGGGUGGAGACAGAGUUUAAAACCCCUAGAGGGCUAGAACGGUAUGCAUGGGAGAGUUUUCCUGGAGGGAUAAUUCGGGAUGUUGGAUAUUAGUUGAGCGGUCCGGAUAGACUGAAGGUCGGUAGGCGUACUAGUCAGGCCGAAGGCUCGGAGAACGGUCCAGACAGGCUGAAGGCCCUGGAGGGAGGUCCAGACCUGUUGAAGGUUCUGAGAGUGGUCCAGAUGGGCUGAAGGCCUGGUAAGGCGGUCCAGUCAUGCUGAAGACUUUGCAUGUGUUGUUAGAUCCGUAUGAGGAUAUGGAAUGAGUAUGGCGUGAUGUGUUAGCAACAGUGGGUCUGGCCCCGGGUAUUUAUCAUCGAUUGGUGGAAGGUAGUGCAUGGACUCGAGAGUCCUUGCGAUCAGAUUCAGAGUAUGUAUGGUGCAUGGGAUAGCGGUUAUGUUAUAAGAAAUGGUGUAAUAUUGGGUGAGCACAGUGGCACUUGUGAUAGUGUCAAGACAACCAAGUGGAUUUCCUUGGUAAGGAAAGGGAAAGGAAUGUAGCCCCGAGAGGGAGUGUAAGUUCACGGAAGUGAAAGCAGUAGUGCGGAGUUAUGAUUGGAGUGUUCCAAUUAUGGUCUUGUAGCAGCGUGUUUGCGGAAGUGGUAUGGAAUCACAUCCGGUUUGGAUGUUUGCUGAGAUCACGGAAGGAAUUCCGAGGGUGUAGAGCCAGGAGGCUCGGAAGGGAUGUAGGGAUGGAGUCUUGGAUUCCCAAUUUGAUUUUGAUCAAGGAAUUAUGUAUGUAGUGGAAAUUCAUCCUGGGGGAAGUUUGGAGGUGUCGUCAGUGCAUCAGGUUUUCCUAACCCGAGGAUGUUAGAACCAGUCCGGCAUGGGUAUGAGAUUGCGGGGGAGAGCUCGUGGGAGUUGCUCUGAGACUAAAUGAUGUGUCCUUCUGUCAACCUGGAAUGGAUAGAGUUGGACUCCGAUCGGGAUUCCGGUGGUUCAGGGUUAUUUCUAGCUCGAAUGAGUCAAGUGAUUGGUGUGAUUUGGAGCGAGCGAAGUAUCAUGAAAUGGUACUUGGCUGUUAAAUGGAAUUAUAUGAGGAUGAGGCCGGUGGCCGGAUUGAGGCAGUGGUCAGAAUGCCGUAGGAGANUUUGGGGGGGGGGGGGUUGUUUUGAGGAAUCUGGUCUGGUUAAUGCCUUGAGGCGCAUUGCGAGAGUAAUUCUAGAGUUGUGUUGCUGCAGGCUUCGAGGACGAAGCCUAUUUUAAGUGGGGGAGAAUUGUAACAUCCCGAGUUCAGGAGUGCAAGUUCAGGGUUCAAAGUGUAUGUGUGGAAGGGCAACUCGGCGAGUAGGGUCGCGACUUGGGUCGUGUGUUAAGUGGCCAACUCGGCGACUCGGAGGAUAGACUCAACGAGUAGGUGCUGAAUGGAGAAAACCCUAAUUUCGGAGGAUGAGCCCUAUUUAAAGGACAUUAUACCCUCUCCCCAGCCUCUUUACCCUCUCUUGAAGUCCAGAAGACCCUAAGGCGCGGUUGUGAGGGAUUUGAGUGCAUUUGAACCUUGGAGAAGAGAUUUUGGAGGAGAUCUUGGAGAGUUAAGAGGAUUGGAGCAAGGGGCUUUGCUAAGAUUUGGAUUUCUCUUCUGUUGGAGCUUCCUUUUGAUGUAUUAUUUCGUUGUUUGGGCUGUUAUUCUUCAUUUUGGAGUAUUUGGAAAGAUUAGCUUGUGGUAUCUUGAGUUUGGAGGUUAGAUCUGGGGUUGCUACCUCAGAUCUGGAAUGGAGAAGGUCUAGAGUGCAUUAAAGUCCCUGUUCUUGGGUGUUUGGUGAAGCCAUCUUGUCCCAAACCCUAGCCCUAGAGUGUAAAAUGCCUAGAUCUCUUUGGAUUCACAUAAAGUUUGCCACUUUACGUGAUGGAUGGGCUGUAGAAGGGUAGAUCCAUGGUUUGGAUCAACCGCAUGGCCUGAAAGGCUUCUGUAUGGGUUAAGAUCUAGAGGCACUCGGCGACUCACAAAGGUGCACUCGGCGAGUUUCUUGAAGAUGGUCAGGAACUCGGCGAGUAGGUUAAAGAUAGCCUUGGACUCAGCGAGUCUGUUCUUGGACUCGGCGAGUCUGGUCGUGAGGUUCUAACUUCUUCUGGUUGAGCCAUGAAUCAGUGAGUCAAGGGAGGACUCGGUGAGUUGAGUGCGAGGGGACCCAGAUCCGUGGGACUCGGCAAGUUGAGUCGCGGAUUGGGGAAGUUCUGAGCAUGGGGACUCGGCGAGUCAUCGAGUUGACUCGGUGAGUAGAGUCAGUCAGGAGGUUGACUUUGACUUUGACUUUGACCAAGGGUUGACCAGUUGAAUUCCAGGGGCAUUUUGGUAAUUUUGGCUUUUGUUUGAGUUCAAUGUUGGUGUCGGCUAGUGGUGGUGAUCGUGUCAGUGGUCGGAGCAUCUUGGUCAUAUCUUUUCAGUCGGCAGUGGCGAGGUGAGUUAUCCUCACCAUAUCAACAGGGUCUAAGGCACCAAGGCCAGCCCUUUAUCGAAUUGUGAUCCGGGUAUCGUUGUUAUGUUAUUGCUUUGAUAUGUUUGCAUCCUGGUAGUUAGGAUGAUAUAUGCUAGUGACCGGUUAGGUCGGUAUCCUGGUUAGGAUGAUGAUAUGUUAUGUGAUCUGCUAGAUCGGCUUGAUUGAAUGUGAAUUGUUAUAUGAUUAAAUGUUUAUGUGCACAUGGUUGUUGGACUGAGGUUUGGGUUGAGGCGGGUCCUGCUUUGUGCUGUAGGCCAACAUACCCAGGGCGGACCGGUUAUCCCGAAGGCCCANNNNNNNGCGGUCCGGAUAGGCUGCAGGCCCCAAGAGGGCGGACCAGACAUGCUGACGCUCGGAGAGUGGACCAGACCGACUGANUAUGUGGUUAGAUUCAGAGAGUGGACCAGGUGGAUUGAAGGCACGGUGCGGGCGGACCAAUCACACUGUAGACUCGAUGUAUAUGGCUAGACUCGGAGAGUGGACCAGGUGGACUGUUGGCCGGUGCGGCGGACCAGUCUCACAGUAGACCCGAAGUGCAUGUAUGUUCUGUGUUCUGUUAUGAUAUGUAUGCUAUUAUGUUAUGGGCCGGAAGGCACUAUGUUUUGGACCGGAAGGGCGUAUGUGUGGUGGGUAUUUUGGGGGUAUCUCACUAAGCUUUCGGGCUUACAGUUGUGGUUUAAUGUUUUUUUUAGGUUCUUCAGGAAACUGUGGCAAGGCAAAGGCGUGAUCGUACCGCUCAUCAUGAUUUUGUUUUACGAUGUGGUUCUGGGAAGACUCUGAUAAUAAUGGUAUCGAAAACCUUUUUGUAAUAACUUUAUGAAACCGGUUUGUUUUGAAAAGUUUAAUUUGGUUGAAAUUUUUAGAGUGUUACAAUAUUGAUGAGAUCUUGAAGCAUGAGUCAGAUCUGGAGUUGAAACUCCAUAUCUGAGUUCUAUAUGGAUCAUUGAUGCAAAAAGCCUUUCUAGUUGUUAUGCAAAAGCCCUUCCCCAAGAGUUAAGUCCCUUUCUAGCUUGGUUUUUGGUAUUAUGGGGCAAGAAGCAUGUAAAGGUGGCAACUUUAUGUUGCUAAUGGACCCUAAUGACCCAUAUCUAUUGUGUGGAGCAAAGGAGUAGCUCUGUGACUCAAGAUUAUGAGAAUGCACGUAUGGACUCGGCGAGUCUGGGAGAUGACUCGGAGAGUCGGGCUAGAGAUCAUACAUUGAGUCGCGUAGUAAAUCGACGAGCCGCAUGGGUGACUCGACGAGUUGGAAGAACAACUCGGCGAGUCUAUUGAAGAUUGUCGUGAACUCGGCGAGUCUGUUCUUGUUCUCGGCGAGUCUGCUCGCAGAACCUAACCUAUUUCAGUUAAAGCCUUGGAUUAGUGAUUCGGUUGGGGAAUCAGCGAGUUGGUCAGGAUGGAACUCAGAGAUCGUUGGACUCGACGAGUCUUGGGGCGACUCGGCGAGUUAAGUCGUGCCAUAAGAGUUUUUUGGAUAUAAGAACUCGGCGAGUCGACGGGUUGACUCGGCGAGUAGAGUCAAUCAGGAAGGAGGACUUUGACUUUGACCUUCAGGGGUAUUAUGGUAAUUUGGAUAUUUAUGUUAAUGGUUAUUGAUGGAUAUAGGUGUUGGAGUUUGAGGCGGUGCUUCGGGAUUGUACUCUUGUGAUUCGGUUCGGCAGUUGCAAGGUGAGUUAUCCUCACUAUACUAAGGGGUCUAAGGCACCAAGGCCGACCCAUUGGAUAUGUUAUCCUAGUAGUGUUAUAUGUUGAGUAUGAGUCUGUGUUACAUGCUAGUGGUUAUGCCAGUUAGGUAGACCUGUAGGACUACCUGUGAUGUUGUAUGAUUAUUGCAUGCUCAGUGGUUAUGUUAUAUGUUAUGUGGGUUGGGUUGAGGUUGUACUACUCCAUGCGGUAGCCAACAAACCAUAGAGUAUUCCAGAUAUGAGCUGAGGGCCCGGUUGGCUCAUACUGAGGACUCGGGAGUAUGCCAGAUAUGAGCUGAGGGCCCGGUUGGCUCAUACUGAGGACUCGGGAGCAUUCCAGAUACGAGCUGAGGGCCCGGUAGGUAUUACAGACUCAUACUGAGGGAUCGGUGGCAAUCCAAAUGUGAGCUGAGGGCUCGGUAGGCAUUCCAGACUCACACUGUGGGCCCAGGGGUAUUUCAGUCUGUAGAGUUGUGGACCCGUUACGUGUUGUUCUGUUCAGUUUGUAAUGUUAUGAUAUUGUUGAUAUCAUUAUGUGGACUGUAUGUGUAUCGGUAUUUUGGUGGUAACUCACUAAGCUUUCGGGCUUACGGUUUCAGUUUAUUGUUUCAGGUACUUCAGGGGAUCGUGGCAAGGCAAAGGCGUGAUCGUACAGCUCCUCACUUUUAUCACUUUAUUUAUGGGAUACUCUGAUAUGAUACAUUUUGAAAACAAGUUUGUAAUAGUUAAUGGAUUUGAAAUGUUUUUAAGAGUUUAAAUUGGCUUGAAUUUUUCAGGUGUUACAUAAUAUAUUAAUAAAUCAUAAUUAAACCUUUCUCUCCUUAAUUCAUCCUACAUAUUGCUAUGGUGAAGGCAACCCAAAAGGACCAUGCUCAUAAUUGGGUCAAGUACAUACCAAAAUAGUUAUGGACUUAGACACUAAUCCAACAAAUGAGACCUUCUCACCAGUAGCGAAGAUUAAGUCUAUUAGUGUUCUGCUAGCCAUAGUUGCGUUUCAUGAUUAUGAAAUAUGGCAAAUGGAUGUCAAAACCGCUUUCCUUAAUGGAAAGUUGGUUGAGGAUGUUUACAUGAAUCAGCCAAAGGGUUUUGUCGAUGCAAUGUAACCUAAUAGAGUGUGUAAGCUUGAAAAAUCCAUUUAUGGAUUGAAACAAGCAUCUCGCAGAUGGAAUCUUUGCUUCAAUGAGAAACUCAAAGAGUUUGGCUUUUUGAGGAGCGAGGAUGAGUCCUGUGUAUAUGUUAGGGCUAGUGGGAGUAUAGUUAGUUUUUUAGUGGUGUAUGUGGAUGACAUACUACUCAUAGGAAAUGACAUCCCAACUUUGCAGGAGGUUAAGUCCUGGCUUGGGAAGUGUUUCGCUAUGAAGGACCUUAGAGAAGCUGCCUAUAUCCUAGGGAUAAGAAUACUGAGAGAAAGGAGUAAAAGACUAAUUGGACUUAGUCAGAGUACCUACUUGGAUAAAGUGUUUAAGAGGUUCAACAUGGAGAAUUCCAAGAAAGGAGACUUACUGAUCCAGCAUAAUGCCAGACUGAGUAAGAUUUAGAGUCCGAGUACAAAGGCUGAGAUAGCUGAGAUGAGUCGAUUACCAUAUGCUUCCGCUAUUGGCUCGAUCAUGUAUGCUAUGACUUGUACUCGCCCUGAUGUGGCCUUUGCUUUGAGCAUGGUCAGCAUAUAUCAGGGAAACCUUGGCAAGGCUCACUAGACUACGGUAAAGACCAUUCUCAAGUACCUACGGAGGACUAAGGACUGGGUUCUUACCCUCGGUGGGAGUGAUGACUUGAGAGUAGCAGGGUAUACUGAUGCUAGCUUUCAGACUGAUAGGGAUAAUUUCCACUCUCAGUCAGGUUGGGUCUUUACCCUAAAUGGAGGAGCAAUUACUUGGAAAAGUUCCAAGCAGGAGACAGUAGUUGAUUCUACUUGUGAAUCAGAGUACAUAGCAGCGAGUGAAGUGACAAAGGAGGCGAUAUGGCUGAAGAACCUCAUUGGAGACCUUGGGGUUGUACCAGCUAUACAGGAGCCUAGAGAGAUUUUCUGUGACAACAAUAGUGCGGUUGCCUUAGCCAAGGAACCAAGAGAUCACGGUAGAUCCAGACACAUUGACAAAAAAAUAUCACUUCAUAAGACACAAGAUAGAAGAAGGACUCCUUGUGGCAAUAUCGUCAGAAGAGAAUCUUGCAGAUCCCCUCACGAAGGGACUGACUAGGGUUAGGGAUUUGCAGCAUGCGAGAAGCAUCGGGCUGAGAGACGAUAUUAGUUUUAAUAAUUAGAUUGUUUUUUGAAACUUGUAGAAUUUAAUUAACAUUUGAUGAUUAAAUAAAAGUUGUUAUUUAUUUAUGAUUAAAGUGUUACUAUCCUAUGUUGAUCGUUUACUGUUGUUUCAAUUUUGCAUGUUUUGACUUCCAGAAUAAUUAUUUUAUUCAAACUCUCCUCAGUCGGUCAUACGUUGGAAGUAGGUAUUGAAUUAAGAUUGUCAUGAAUCUGGCUUGUAAGAUUUGUCUAAGGUGAAUUAGACAUAGCAAUGGUUGCUGCAACAUUCAUGAGUGCUCAUAAGUUCUGAGUAUUAGAUUAAACCCACACUCACUUGUAUCACUUCAUGGAAUUUAUCUCGAGUGAUCGUGAGACGGUAAUAUCAUAUAUAUAUAUAUNNNNNNNNNNNNNNNNNNNNNNNNNNNNNNNNNNNNNNNNNNNNNNNNNNNNNNNNNNNNNNNNNNNNNNNNNNNNNNNNNNNNNNNNNNNNNNNNNNNNNNNNNNNNNNNNNNNNNNNNNNNNNNNNNNNNNNNNNNNNNNNNNNNNNNNNNNNNNNNNNNNNNNNNNNNNNNNNNNNNNNNNNNNNNNNNNNNNNNNNNNNNNNNNNNNNNNNNNNNNNNNNNNNNNNNNNNNNNNNNNNNNNNNNNNNNNNNNNNNNNNNNNNNNNNNNNNNNNNNNNNNNNNNNNNNNNNNNNNNNNNNNNNNNNNNNNNNNNNNNNNNNNNNNNNNNNNNNNNNNNNNNNNNNNNNNNNNNNNNNNNNNNNNNNNNNNNNNNNNNNNNNNNNNNNNNNNNNNNNNNNNNNNNNNNNNNNNNNNNNNNNNNNNNNNNNNNNNNNNNNNNNNNNNNNNNNNNNNNNNNNNNNNNNNNNNNNNNNNNNNNNNNNNNNNNNNNNNNNNNNNNNNNNNNNNNNNNNNNNNNNNNNNNNNNNNNNNNNNNNNNNNNNNNNNNNNNNNNNNNNNNNNNNNNNNNNNNNNNNNNNNNNNNNNNNNNNNNNNNNNNNNNNNNNNNNNNNNNNNNNNNNNNNNNNNNNNNNNNNNNNNNNNNNNNNNNNNNNNNNNNNNNNNNNNNNNNNNNNNNNNNNNNNNNNNNNNNNNNNNNNNNNNNNNNNNNNNNNNNNNNNNNNNNNNNNNNNNNNNNNNNAUUUUGGAAUUAAUUUAGUGAUCAAAAGAGGCUAAUUAAAUAUGGACUCUUAAAUAUAUAUAUGGAUUAGGCUAAGAUUUAUUUAGGAUGGACUAAGAGUAUAUGGAAGUCCAUGGACAGUCCAUGGAUCUUUUAACCCAUGGAUCCUAGGUAAAUGAAGAGUCAUGGGUAUUAGGGUUUAACCCUAAUCCUUCAUAGUAUAUAAAGAGGUCCUUGGUUCUAGAAUUGGCACUAGUGUGCGUGAGAAACAAGGGUGGGCCGAUUCUAGCAAGCAUCAUAUUCUCUCAAGUAUUUCCAAGUUGUUUUGGGUGAUUUGUGACACCACUUGAGGCAUCCACACUAUUGGUUCUAGGCUCUAAAACUCCAAGCAAUCAACCACAAAAGAAAGGUAUGUUAUUCUACUUAAAGUUUUAUAUUAUUAGUACCCCAUAACAUGCUAGUCAGGUUGUAAACCUUGGAAAUCAAAUUUGCAUGUAUUUUAGAGAAAACAUAGAUCCAAGGUUUCUAGAGUUGCAUGUACACCAUAGUAGUGUUAGAAUGCUCAAAACCUAACAAUAUUAUGGUUAAUGUAGGAGACAUCUCUAUUUUCCCCCGAAAAUCUUUAGAAUUACCACAACUUAGCUUUCAAUUCACCUCUGACCAUCAAAUGAAAUGUGAAUAAUCCGUCCUCUUCUCUUUGAAAGAAGGGGCUCUUCCG
This 30621-nucleotide long non-coding RNA is filed under the name Lactuca sativa (garden lettuce). RNAcentral's name for it is "long non-coding RNA (LSAT_LNC009637)". Lineage: Eukaryota; Viridiplantae; Streptophyta; Magnoliopsida; Asterales; Asteraceae. The record is from RNAcentral.